UACGUAGGUGGCGAGCGUUGUCCGGAUUUACUGGGCGUAAAGGGAGCGUAGGCGGACUUUUAAGUGAGAUGUGAAAUACUCGGGCUCAACUUGAGUGCUGCAUUUCAAACUGGAAGUCUAGAGUGCAGGAGAGGAGAAUGGAAUUCCUAGUGUAGCGGUGAAAUGCGUAGAGAUUAGGAAGAACACCAGUGGCGAAGGCGAUUCUCUGGACUGUGACUGACGCCGAGGCUCGAAAGCGUGGGUAGCAAACAGG
This 253-nucleotide ribosomal RNA is filed under the name uncultured bacterium. RNAcentral's name for it is "partial 16S ribosomal RNA". It matches the Rfam family "Bacterial small subunit ribosomal RNA", at positions 524 to 776 of the family's 1533-position model. The record is from RNAcentral.